RNAcentral lists this long non-coding RNA (3783 nucleotides) under Lactuca sativa (garden lettuce). Its description in RNAcentral is "long non-coding RNA (LSAT_LNC005434)". The record is from RNAcentral. Lineage: Eukaryota; Viridiplantae; Streptophyta; Magnoliopsida; Asterales; Asteraceae.
AACACCAUACAUUGAGAUAACACACAUACAUUGUUUACAUGUUGUAUAUGUUCAUAAAUUUACACAAAAAUGACAUAAUGUAUGAAAUUUCAAAAUGCAGCAAUUAUCCAAGAUCCAUGGUCCAAAUACCUGCUCAUUGAGUCCCUGAGAAUACAAGUCGUUUUGAAAAGCGUCAACAUAGAAUGUUGGUGAGUUCAUAAGUAUUUUUGUAUGAAUAAGCUUUAUAACAUCUUUGUUUGUAAUAAUUUGUAAAACUCCAGAAAAUCCGAUAUUUUUUUAUGAAAAAUGGUUUGUAAGUCUCGUUCUAAAACUAUGAAUAAUUGCUUGCAUGUCCUUUGUAUUUGUAAAAAAAAAAUGUGUUUCCAGAAAAUCUAAUAUUUUCUGUUGUAUGAAAACCUACAGUCUUAAAACCCUAAGAUUGGAGUGGUGAUAAUAAUAUACUAGAAAAUGAAGCGUAGUUUUGUAUUCAAUAAAACUAGUAAAGUGUAUAUUUUUCCGUAAAUCCAAAAUGAUAUUGUUAAUCCCUCUGCGAUUCGUUACAACCAUGCUUGAUGUGAUUGAUAUGCAUGUCACGACGUUCUUCAGGCGUCGGUUUAGGUAAGAUAUUUGUCACCCUACACUGGCCCCGUCUAGCUGUAGCGAAAAGCUCAGGUUUGGGCAUGUCAACCCCGUAUAGAUCUAUACACAAUUACCUCGCUCUCCCUCUGCUAAGGACUUAUGGUUUAUGCUAGGUAGGUACGACGAAGGAAAGUCUCACAAGUGCCUUAACAGAUUUACACGAAAUUUGACUCCCAUUAUUGAAUAAUGAAUAUAACAUUACUAGUGUAAAUUCGUGAUUGAAGUUUUGUGACACGUGUUUUACAGCUUUAUGACAUACAACUUAUAACUUGCACUUUUAAAUGCUUUAUGAUGGACAGAUUAUGACACGCAGAUUUUUCUGUCGUAAAAAUUAUGCUUUGUAUAUCGUUUUAGUUGAAUUAUUUAUAACACUUUUUAUAAAUAAUUUCUAAUGGACUUGUCAAUUUGUAAUAUAUGUUGUGUAAAUAGAAUAAUUCUCUAAGUUUUUAAACCAUUAAAAUUAUGACAAAAUAUUACGACCAUUUUAUAAUAAAAAUCAUUUUUAACAAAAUAAACAAUUUUUUUGUAGUUUGUUCAACAUACCGAAUUUUUUUUGAAAGUUUUGUAAAACAACAUAUUCCAUUUUGUUGUGACCCUAACAUGUUACGAUUUCCACAAUAUAUAUAUAAAAUCAUGAAAUUUGUUACAUCCAUAUAUGGUGGUGUUUCUAAGAGAUUAACACACAACAAAAGUGUGUAAACAAGGAGUUGUUAUCAUAAAAAUGUUUAGAGCUACAAGAGUUACAUGAAGGUCUUACCAAAUUUAUGAACCUUUGAGGAAGAGUCUUUUGAAGAUGGCACCCACAUACCCAUGAAAUUUUAGAGGAAGAAUGAGAGAAGCUUAAGUUUUUGAGAGGAAGAAGUGGGAGGAUUUCUUGAGACUAAGUGAGGGAAAAUGAAGUUUCUAAGGUGUGUUGGAGGGGGGUCGGCCAAUCCUAAGAGAGAGGAGGGAGAAAGAAGUUGACUUUUGUGAUAUUUGAUGUGAGAGUUACAUGGAUAUAUGGAGGGUUAUAGCUUUGUUACAUGGGAGAAAAUUGUGAGGUGGCUAGGUAUUUUCGUUAUCUUUUUCUCUUUUUUUUUUGUUCAAACUCCAACCGACCCAUUGGGUUCUCGGCCCAAAGGGUGGCCCAAAAAGAAUUGGUUUCGAGUUUUGGCUUGGGUGAAUAGGAGUUUUCGGUCCAUUAAAGCCCAAAGGUAGGGGUUUUCGGUCCAUUAAGGUCUAAGGAAGGGUUUUCGGCCCAAUGGAAGGCCCAGUAGAAACUUUCGGCCCAAUAAAGCCCAAUGAAGAGUUAUCGGCCCAAUAGGACCCAAAGAAAGAUAAAGAAAGGUAUUCGGUCAAAUAAGGCCUAUAGAAAAAGUUUUGGUCCAAUACGGGUUUUGGGCCGAGAAUUCUUGGGCUAAGGCCCAAAAUUGAUUGGACUUAGCUAUUGGAUCGAGUUUUGGACUUGCAUGAGGUUGUUUCGACUUGAAUCACAAUGUAUGAACGUAUGAACUUGAAUACCAUUGUAGUUUGAAGUUCACUAAAUGGGAUGUUGCAGGUACUUCUUCCUCGAAGGGAAAGGAGCCAGCAUGACUGCAACGUAUCACACCAUGAUUUUGCACACUAUGAUGUUCUUGGGAUUUGUACUCUGACAUUAUUAUGGCUUGUUUUGAGAGAUAUGACUUAUGGGUUUUUAUGAUAUAAGAUAACUUAAAGAUAUUUUCACUAAUUUGUUUUAUGAAUUAUUAAACUAAAAAUGAAAUUUUUGGUCUUUGAUUUUGGGAUGUUACAAAUACACCUUUAAAAUGGCGUACACUGCCCCUUUACGAGCUCCAAAAGCUCCAUAAAUUUCAUCAUUUACCAAGAUAAAAUUUAUUCCAAUGAAUUGUACAAUACAUAAAAUCAUAAUAGUUUUGUUCAUAUAAAUGUAACUUACCAAUCAUCAUUGCCUUAAAUCAACCAUGAUAGCAUUCAUACAAAACACAUCAAUAAGUUUGGUUGCAACUAUUAAGGAUGAGUUGUUACCAGUAUUAACCUUCACUACAUAAUAUUUGCAAUGUCAAACAGCCAAAUCUACAAGGUUUGUCUGCUAACCUGCAACAAACACAAUGAAGAAUUAUCAGAAGUAAUACACUGAUCUUUCUACAAAAGACUAGAAUAAGAUCUGCAACAACAUAUAGACAACGAUUUUUAUGUCUUUACCCUUUAUGUGUAGGUCCAGAUCCAAAAACAUGAAAUGUAACCCAUUAGAGAUUCAAAUCUGACAAGAUAAAUAAAUAAAUAAAUAUAUAUAUAUAUAUGNNNNNNNNNNNNNNNNNNNNNNNNNNNNNNNNNNNNNNNNNNNNNNNNNNNNNNNNNNNNNNNNNNNNNNNNNNNNNNNNNNNNNNNNNNNNNNNNNNNNNNNNNNNNNNNNNNNNNNNNNNNNNNNNNNNNNNNNNNNNNNNNNNNNNNNAUAUAUAUAUAUAUAUAUAUAUAUAUAUAUAUAUAUAUAUAUAUAUAUACAAACACAUAAUGGUGAUCCGUUAGGGUUUUCUUACGAUAGAAAGGAGAGUGUGACAUUUUUUUGAAAGGAGACAACAAUAAAUGUGGGUUACCUGUUCCUUGCCCAAAUCAGAUCAAAGAGAUGUCUUUCCAACCCUAAAUCAAGCCCAAUGGAGUCUGGCAUCUAGUAGCAAGUCUGCAGUGAUGAAAUAUGUAUCAUUGUUAAAUCAUAUGAUAAAUGAAGAGUCCCUUUUUUUUUGCAAGAACAAAAGCUGAAUGAUCUGAUGGUUGUGAGGUUUCGACCAAUUAUACCCAAAACAUCAUAGAAAUAUAGGUCAAACAUAGUACCUGAGAUUAAAACUUCAAAUAUAGACAUCAAUGUCAAAUAAUGAGAGAAUAGGAGCAUAGGCUAGAUGUCGUUUGAUGUUGGGGAAAUAUGGCAGUGGUGACCGGUGGUGAGAUGAAGUGUGACGGUGAUGAAGGUGGCUUGUUUGAUGAUAUGGAAGUUUAGGUGAUGGCAGAUUUUAUUGAUGGUGGGUUGUGAUAUUUGAUAUUAGAAUUUCUAAAGGAUAGAUGCGAGAGAUGAGAAAGUCGGAGGCGUUUAGCAAGGACUGUGAUAUAUGUUCCUUAUUUUAAAGAGAUAAGGGGCCAAAUUUGGUAAUUAGAACAAUCUACAGAUCGAAGCAAUUUAAGGAGACAUGGCCG